CAGCACUUCAGGAGGACUGGCUCAUCACUGCCUUAAAGUAUAUGGAGUCUAACCCAGAGACUUUACAAGAACUGAUGACCAAGAACUACGCAAUGAUGGAAGGGGACGUGAUUCUGUCUACUGACAGGAAUUUUGUGGGAAAUGCAUGGCCAACACGAAAGAUCCCUUACAUCAUCAGUCCAGAGUUAG
Solea solea (common sole) is the source of this 189-nucleotide long non-coding RNA. RefSeq lists it as uncharacterized. NCBI's taxonomy places the organism in Eukaryota, Metazoa, Chordata, Actinopteri, Pleuronectiformes, Soleidae. The record is from RefSeq and is a predicted model, not a curated record. The transcript is spliced from 3 exons.